GAAAUGCGAUAAGUAGUGUGAAUUGCAGAAUUCAGUGAAUCAUCGAAUCUUUGAACGCACAUUGCGCCCCUUGGUAUUCCAUGGGGCAUGCCUGUUCGAGCGUCAUCUACACCCUCAAGCUCUGCUUGGUGUUGGGCGUCUGUCCCGCCCCCGCGCGUGGACUCGCCCCAAACCCAUUGGCAGCGUUCCUUGCCCCCUCUCGCGCAGCACAUUGCGCUUCUCGAGGGCGGCUCCGGGACGCGAUCCAGCAAGAUGACCACCGUCUUUGACCUCGGAUCAGGUAGGGAUACCCGCUGAACUUAAGC
Molecule: unclassified non-coding RNA, 305 nt
Filed under: plant metagenome
Description: partial contains 5.8S ribosomal RNA, internal transcribed spacer 2, and large subunit ribosomal RNA
Rfam family: 5.8S ribosomal RNA (bases 1-105)
Source: RNAcentral